UGCGUAGGCGGGCUAAUAAGUCAGUGGUGAAAUAUUCCGGCUCAACCGGGAGACUGCCAUUGAUACUGUUAGUCUUGAGUUCGGCUGCGGUAGGCGGAAUGUGUAAUGUAGCGGUGAAAUGCUUAGAUAUUACACAGAACACCAAUUGCGUAGGCAGCUUACUAGACCGACACUGACGCUGAGGCACGAAAGCGUGGGGAGCGAACAGGAUUAGAUACCCUGGUAGUCC
Molecule: ribosomal RNA, 229 nt
Filed under: uncultured bacterium
Lineage: Bacteria
Description: partial 16S ribosomal RNA
Rfam family: Bacterial small subunit ribosomal RNA
Source: RNAcentral